Molecule: long non-coding RNA, 2721 nt
Organism: Daphnia pulex (common water flea)
Lineage: Eukaryota; Metazoa; Arthropoda; Branchiopoda; Diplostraca; Daphniidae
Exons: 6
Source: RefSeq, a predicted model, not a curated record
UUUAAAAUGGAAGAUGGCGUGUUUGUCCGGCGGAUGGCCCCUGGAUCCCCACGUCGAGAGCGGAUUCAACUACAAAUAUUUCCCGAUCGACAGCGUCUUGAGGUUUAACCUGGUGGAGGAUCUCGUUCUCUGGCGUCAAGGAUAUAGUUCUCAUUUGGAAGAAAGCUUAAUUCGUACUUUGAAGCCGGAGGAUAUGAUUAAUAUCGACACCAUGAUUGUCGGCAUUUUGGUUUGUUUAUUUUCCAGGAACAAAGUGAUCCUCCAACACUUUCAAAAUUUUGAAGACACAUUCGAAAAGUCCUCCAUCAUUUCGACGAUCCUGAGAACUGCAGCGAGAAAACACGGACCCUAUCUGGACGUCGUUUCGUGCACGUCAAUCAUGAAAAAUUGGUUUUAUCCCAAAACCAUAAUACCAAUAAAAUAUGAUUACAUUUAAAUGUCGUGCUCAUCGGCGUUGUUAGGAAACACAGUGAUUGUCCGCAACUCAAAUUUGCUUGAUUUUUGACUAUUUUUUUCCUGACUUAUUUCCCUUUUUUACUUUUGAGAUAUUUUUAGACUUUUCCUUCAAACGAAAAUAAAAGGGUAGGAAGGGUAAGAGUAGCAAUGGAGAGGAAGUGAUGAGGAGUCGUUCGCGCGCGCCCUUCUUUUUAUUUUAGCCAUGUAAUAUUCCCCCCUUUUUUCCCCUUUAAAUUUCACUUUUCUUUGCUUUUCUUCCCUUUUUUAGAGUUGCGGACCCCUUUUGCUAUUACACAGAAAUGGCUAUGUUGAUUCGUUAAUCGUAUAGUUGCUGAUUUUUCGCGUGAUAUUAUUUUGCCACGAAUUCUCAACGUGCGAGUCAAAAAGGGCGACGAUUUUUCAGUCGUAGGAAAACGUUUGUUAGUUCGCUAAUCACACGUCAGCUUAAUGUUCUUGAUUUUAUACCACUCGAUUUUAUUAUUUCGAAUUUUUAGUUGAAUUAUUUUAUUUAUAGCGAUGGAUGUAUUAGAUACAACACUAGAUAGUCAGCUGGGUACACUACGGAUACUCUGGCAUUAUUUUGCUCGGUUCUCUUCAUUCUCGACGUUCGCUUCUUGCGAUGUUCCUGCCCUUGAAUAUUGCCGUCGUCCAAGUUUUGUAACAGGGACUAACCUAAGUGAAAUCCCUUUUCAGAUUUGGAUCAAGGGCUAAAUUUGGUCCAAUGAGAAUCAUCCAUCAAAAUGAGACCUUAAAAAGGUGUCCAGAUAGUGUUGUUGUCCAGAUAGCAGAUUGCGAAUUAUUACCCAAAAUAUUUUAUUUGAAACGUCGUAGACAAAAGAAGGCAGGGGUUGGUGGACGACGCCCAUCAUUUUUGUCGGAGAAAUUUUUUUUAAAUUGCGCAUUUUUCUUUUUCAUCUUCGACAUUAUUUUGUCAACGGCUGUCCUUGAACGUCGCCAUCUUCCCAUUCAUCGGCGACCUUUUUGUGUUUCACUUUGUUGACUCAACAGUUGUGUCGUUGAAAAGUUGUUGGUGUACAGUCAACGUGCUGCGCUGACUUAUUCCAGAUUGUUUGAAAUUUAAUUUGACAAUGUGACGCGAGUCAAAGGACACCAACAAGUGUUUCACGAAGGUCAAAUGUAUUCCAAAUGAACAACCCAUUGGAGUCAAUCAUAUCCACCAGAAUUUUUUUUCUAAGGAUAUUGCGUAGUUCAUCUAUUGCGUGUUCAUCUUGACCCAGGGUUAGAAUGACGUCACUCCUGUGAAAGCGCCUGGGUAUCCAUUUCUAGCACAUCCUUUUCAUUUUUUAAAAUUCCCAAUAAAUUUAAAAAAAAAUCCUCCAAUGAAUGAAUCACGUCAAAUUCAUUUUACCGAUUCCCCAGCUGACGAUUCCAACUUGUUCAUAUUUGCAUUUCGCUCUGUGCGAUUUGACGACCAGUGGACCGCCAUUGUCGCCAUGUCAUAAAAUAAUUUCCGUUCAGUCUUUUCCCCUGUGCCCCGAACACGUCUUAAACUUCCAACAUUUCACAAAAACAUCACUAAAUCUAUGAUUUUACAUUAUUUAUUUCAAAUGCGUCCAAUUGUGUUAAUUCUUAUUGGAUUUGGAUUUUCUAGGGAUGUGAAGGGAUUGCGAGUAGGCUAUGUCGGGGGCUAUGUGUAACCACUUUCAUUGAAAUGGGAUUGGCUUAUCCGUGAAAUGGCGCAUGCAUUAUUGAAAAGAGGUGGCAGUCAUAGCUGAAGUAUAGCGGUAUAGCGCCAGAGAUUGUUCUUCAUCGGCCGAUUGAACUAAAUUGUUUCAAAUUCUGCUGACAAACGUGUUUGCUCACCUUGCUGGUUAUUCCUCAAACAAAUGGCCCAGUAUCUUCCGUCAAGAGCCGCCGUCUUCUUUCUAUUAGCGGCCGUUCUGCUGUUUUACUCCUGCCCAGCUAGUGCUGGCAACAGAGUCCCGAAAAGCGAAAGGUUUGCGCCAACUUUGGACGAAACAACCCGAAAUGACUGUCAAACAAGGAAAGAAUUAGCGGAAAAAAGCGACAGCCAGAUAAGAAUGAUUAACAGUGACGAAAUCUACCGGGGGGUUUACCCUCGAGUGAUGUCGUUCCUGCCCUGGAUCAAGAAAGAAAUGAUGACGCACAAGAUCAACAUUUAACGGUCGUUGUUAUCUCGGGUUGGCUGGUGAGGACCCACUUCCAAAAAUCUUUUGAGCUGAUAAUUAUUAACUAAAGGCAAAGGACUCGUUGGACCGCACUGUACCGCAAUUAUUUCAUUUU